Long non-coding RNA from Cryptotermes secundus, 1102 nucleotides. RefSeq lists it as uncharacterized. NCBI's taxonomy places the organism in Eukaryota, Metazoa, Arthropoda, Insecta, Blattodea, Kalotermitidae. The transcript is spliced from 3 exons. The record is from RefSeq and is a predicted model, not a curated record.
UAUGUGUUCAUUGCAUGUUGCAGUGUAUUUAAGUAAACUAUGAUAGUUGGCACUAACUAUGCCGACAAGCGGCGGUCGCUCGGUCGGUAUAGUUCGCUUGCAGACUACAGGCCACGGAGUUUGAGUUUGAUGAUGACUAUGAUGGCGGGAAGCGUUGUGUGAAAACAUGGGAAAAAACAGUAAUACAAGAAUUAUUGGAAAAAAUGUAUGAUUGGUGCCCUGCAAGACAGAACAUGUUCCAAAGUACAUAUUUGAAAAGACAAAAACAUCAUUGAGGUACCCUGGCUGGAUAAAGUCACCUGAACUGCAACAGUUGACUGCGUCUGAACCGUUGUCUCUUGAGGAAGAGUAUGAAAUGCAGAGCAGUUGGUUGAUGGAUGAAGACAAAUGCACCUUCAUCAUUCUAGAAAAGUCUGCAUUUGAGAACACAGGAGAUGAAAUUGGUAAGUUAUAUCUUACCAUAUGUAUCACAGAUUUGUUCAUACUGUCACGCAUAUGGAGUGACUAUAGAUGGUGUUUGGAUUGGUAAUUAAAGUUACUGUACACUUUUAACAUACAACUCAUGACUACACUUUACAAAUCAUUGUCUCACACACAGACUGGUGUUCUCAGUAGUGUUAGAGUCUCCAAUAGCUGUUGCUUGGUAGCGGCUUCCAAUGGCGGAUAUUCUGCUUCCUCUGGGUUCCCAAACUGACCCUGACCUCAGCUACCAGGUUCUCACAGAAACAGCUCACAAGGACGGAACCACAGCAGUACUCUAACUCACUCACUCAUUCACAACAAACUCCUCGCUCAUCCUGCUUAUAACAUCUUGGCACGGACCACAGAAAAAACUGCUCCUCUGUUGCAUUGCCCCUGUUGCCAUGGAAUUGUUGUGUUUGUGUCUGUUAGCAGAAAUCUUUGUGAUACUCGAAUAGAUUAUAAACCGUUCAUUUUGUAACGCUAGUUUGUUUUCAUUUUACAUUGCUUAUUUACUUUCUCAGUGACCUAUUUUCUUGAUGAUAAUCAAUACGACAAAACAUUUAGCUUAGCGAGAUGUUCAGGUGCUGCAAGGACGGACCUUUUUAUAUACUAGAGUCAUGAGCUCAAGGCAAGAUGUCCU